AGCCCAUGUGGGACCUUCGAAGACCUUCGGCCCAAGGCCUUCAAGGGAGAUUUGAAAAGCCAGCGGAGAUUUGAAAACAGUACUCGGUCCCUAUAGUAGCAAGACGCUCAACACACUGUUAAUUCCCCUGUAACUAGUUUCGUACCAGCCCUCCCUAGUAGACACCAGCCUUGAUGGGACAGUGGCACCAUACCCAGUGGAGCUUCAGUGACGUUCCGAGGGUCCCGCAUGCGAAUGAGAAUGUCAUCCAGCAGCUGCGCUUUGGUCUUCCGUGGGGGUGGUAUUGGUAUCCUCGCAGCCUGGCACAAGGGUUUCUGGAAAGUGACCAGCCUGGGCUUGGAGGAACGGCAGACAAGCGGCUGCUUCAGCAUGCGGUGCAGGGCCUGCGCAUUCUUCUGGAUGCCUAGCAGAGAAGGCAGAAACAGGUGUCGUCCCCGUUUC
This is a long non-coding RNA of Alexandromys fortis (reed vole), 441 nucleotides long. RefSeq lists it as uncharacterized. The record is from RefSeq and is a predicted model, not a curated record. Lineage: Eukaryota; Metazoa; Chordata; Mammalia; Rodentia; Cricetidae. The transcript has 3 exons.